CUCCUGUCCCGGGACCCACCCAGGCGGAGGCAAGGGCAGGGGCGCUGGGGGCCCAGAGAGAGGGCGCCGCGAUGGAUGAAUGAGCUGUUUCCAGCAUUCCUGCUUCAACUCAAAAUUUUCCUUCAUGGCACAGUGGAAAGCUUUGAAGACGGCGGUUCUGGGGCUGAAUAUGAAGGCAACUCGGACUAAGAAGACGACUGCUUUCCAACUGCCCUCCCGUCCUGCAGCCGCCUGAUUUGAGGAAGGGGCUGGGAUCCUUCCCCUUGCCCUCUGGUUGUUCUUGGAGUUACAGCAGCCCCGCGGCAGCUCUGCCCCCUAGUGCACAUGUGAGGCAGCGCGCCCUUCUCCAAUCCAGAAGCCUCGUCGCGGUGCUGCCAGCAAGGGAGUUUUUCUGUAUUCACUUUGGUGGAAAUAGCAAAACUUGACAGAAAAAAAACCCAAGCCAAACCAAAACACACGAACCAUUCUAGCCUUUUCUCUCUUUCGUUUCUUUCUGAGGAUCUGGCCGAUUUGGAUGCAGAAAACAUGCCUGUUGCUUCUGCUGCGAAAUCUGCUCUUUCUCUUCCUGCUAUCGGAACCCUGUCCCUUCUUUCAAAGCCUAAUUCAGGCCAGGCGCGGUGGCUCACGCCUGUAAUCCCAGCACUUUGGGAGGCCGAGACAGACGGAUCACUUGAGGUCAAGAGUUUGAGACCAGCCUGGCCAAAAUGGUGAAACCCUGUCUCUACUAAAAAUACAAAAAUUAGCUGGACAUGGUAGCACACGCCUGUAAUCCCAGCUACUCGGGAGGCUGAGGCAGGAGAAUCACUUGAACCCGAGAGACGGAGGUUACAGUGAGCUGAUAUCAGGCCACUGCACUCCAGCCUGGGUGACAGAGUGAGACUCCAUCUCAAAAAAAAAAAAAAAAAAGCCUAUUUCAAAUUCCACCCCUUGCCUAAAAACUUUUCCUGACUUCUGACUUUCCUCUCCUAUGCGUCUUUUUUAUUUUUUAUUUUUGAGCUGGAGUCUCACUGUGUCACCCAGGCUGGAGUGCAGUGUCGCAAUCUCCGCUCACUGCAACCUCCGCCUCUGGGGUUCAAGCAGUUCUGCCUCAGCCUCCCGAGUAGCUGGGAUUACAGCCACCCGCCACCAUGCCUGGCUGAUUUUUUGUAUUUUUAGUAGAGACGGGGUUUCAUCAUGUUUGUCAGGCUGGUCUCGAACUCCUAACCUCAAGUGAUCCACCCGCCUUGGCCUCCCAAAGUGCUGGGAUUACAGGCAUGAGCCACCGCGCCCAGCCAUCCUAUAUGUCUUUUGAAAUAUGGCUGUACACAGGCUCAGCACACAGUGUGCACUUAUAUACUGUAUUUCUUUAUUGGGGUCCAAGUCUGUGCAUCUUUUGUGUUCACAGACCCCAGGGUGCCCAGCACAGGGCUGGGGACACAAACUGCUCUCAAUAAGCCCCUGUUUAUUAAUUAAUUGAUUAGCUUCCACAGAAACAACUGAGGUUUUGCUUCAAUAAACCUUGCAGAACUCUUAGUUCUUUAGGGACUCUGGAUAGUGAUCUAAUCAAAUAUGGCCUUGCACAGUAAGUCAUUUCACAAAGCAAUUUCACAAGAGAACACUAACAUCACCCAGAGUGGGAUGAGGAAGUCUGAAAUUUGAAGUGGACUCUCAGAAAGAUGAGGAAGGUGGCGGUGCUGUAGACAGGUCAAAGGACAAUGACUUAGGAGAGGUGGGUCUCUGCUUCUGGGAUAGAAGACGCAGCACGGGCCCUAGAGUUAGCUUCAUAUCCAGACUCUACCACUUGCUGUAUGUCCCUGGGCAAGUUUACUCUUCUCUCUGUGCCUCAGUUUUCUCCUCUGUAAAAAAAGGCCGGGCAUGGUGGCUCCUGCCUGUAAUCCCAGCACUUUGGGGGGCCAAGGUGGGCGGAUCACCAGCGGUCAGGAGCUUGAGACGAGCCUGGACAACAUGGUGAAAACCCAUCUCUACUAUAAAUACAAAAAUUAGCAAGGUGUGGUGGCACGCGCCUGUAGUCCCAGCUACUCUGGAGACUGAGGCAGGAAAAAUCGCUUGAACUCAGGAGGCAGAGGUUGCAGUGAGCCAAGAUCGCACCACUGCAGUCCAGCCUGGGUGACUGAGCAAGACUCCGUCUCCAAAAAAAAAAAAAAAAAAAAAAGUACCUAUCUCAUAGUGAUACAAUGAGGGUGAAUUAGCUGGUAUUUGUAAAGUGCUAAAGCAACACCUUGCACCUCGUAAGUACCAUGUAACUGUUUGUAAAUGAAUUUUCCAGCUUAGCUGUCUUGUCAUUGGAAUGGGGAUUGAUUAUAUGUUCUCUUGGUUCCCUCGAGCAGUGACCUUUCAGGGCAGUGCAUAAGCUUUGGGGUCAGGCAGGUCUGGGUUGACUCCUAUCUUUGUCGGUAGUUGUGUGACUUUGCACAGAUAACUUCUCGGAACCUCAGUGUUCUUAUCUGUGAAAUGGGAAUAAUUGUGUCUACUUCAAAAGACUGUUGUGGGUAUUGCAUGUUUGUAAUGUGCCUGGCACAGAAGGAGUGUAAUAAACAGAAGCUAUAGUUAUUAUUGUGGACAAGAGCAGCCACAUGUAAAGGAAAAUAGAGUUUCCAAGGUCAUUGAAGUUUCCAGAAAGACUGAACAUAUCAGAUAGCAAUGAGACCAGCUCAACUUGUGGAGCUUGGUGGGAGGGUGGGCCUGGGUCUGCGCCAGGAGUAAAUAUCACCCCAUUUGAGGAAGCAGAAACGGUGUGACUUGCACAUCAGCUCUAAGAACAUUUUCUGCUCCAGGGCUGUGCUGAGGGCGUGGACCCACUGGGGCUGGAUGCCAGGAGCUGGAGGCCUCUCCGGCUCUCCUUCCCAGGAGGGGAGAUUUUAGUAGAGAGGGUGUGGGUGGGCCUUGGAAACCUCUUGUUGUGUGUGCGUGGGGUGCGGGGGAGUGUCAGAAUGGCCCAGGGAUAUCUGGCCUUGGUAGGUGUACUCCCAGGCCUGGGGUGGCCUUCCUCAUGGCAGAACCUGCCUUCACGGCUCCUCAAAGCUGCCAUCCUUCACUCCAACUGAAGACACCCCUGACUGAUUGCCUGCAAUUAUCCGAGGAGUGGGGGAAGGAGGGUUUUGGUAGUCUUGCAGCCAAAUUAAUCUUAAUUCCCUUCAACUCGUGUGGAAAAGUACCCAACGAAAUAUGCAAAUGCUGCAUGUAUUCCUUCAGUAAAGGGGAAGGAGGGUUGCAACAUCAAACAAUGAUAGGGUGUCGCAAUCCUAAACGUGUGAGGAAUUACUCUUAAGGUCCUCGUACUUGACAGCUCCGGGCCCCCAUGACACAUGAGGAGUUUUGUGCUCCGAAACAGGCCAGGGCCAGGGUGUCUACCACGCUUACCACUAGCUGUGAUUUGGGGGCCUCAAACACAGCCUGAGACCUGGCAAAACCAUCUUAGGAACUGGGGAUCACAGAGGACUCUGCAAACCUCCUUCUAAACUCAUAUUUCCAGUAAUGGCAACAGGGUGGGCCCUUAAUAGCUCCUGGAGCAGAAAUUGAAGGUUGAGCUAUCUUUAAAAAAAACAUGGCAGGCGUGGUGGCUCAUCCCAGCACUGUGGGAGGCUGAGGUGGGAGGAUCACUUGAGGCCAGGAAUUCAAGACCAACCUGGUCAACAUAGUGA
RNAcentral lists this long non-coding RNA (3641 nucleotides) under Homo sapiens (human). Its description in RNAcentral is "non-protein coding LINC01220:11". Lineage: Eukaryota; Metazoa; Chordata; Mammalia; Primates; Hominidae. The record is from RNAcentral.